AGCGAACGCUGGCGGCAGGCCUAACACAUGCAAGUCGAGCGGCCGUAGCAAUACGGCAGCGGCAGACGGGAGAGUAAGACGUGGGAACGCGCCCUUCGGUUCGGGAUAACUCAGUGAAAAUAGAGCUAAUACCGGAUACGACCUUACGGGGAAAGAUUUAUUGCCGAAGGGACAGCCCGCGUCCGAUUAGCUUGUUGGUGAGGUAACGGCUCACCAAGGCGACGAUCGGUAGCUGGUCUGAGAGGAUGACCAGCCUCACUGGGACUGAGACACGGCCCAGACUCCUACGGGAGGCAGCAGUGGGGAAUAUUGGACAAUGGGCGCAAGCCUGAUCCAGCCAUGCCGCGUGGGUGAUGAAGGCCCUAGGGUUGUAAAGCCCUUUCAGCGGGGAAGAUAAUGACGGUACCCGCAGAAGAAGCCCCGGCUAACUUCGUGCCAGCAGCCGCGGUAA
RNAcentral lists this ribosomal RNA (451 nucleotides) under uncultured bacterium. RNAcentral describes it as "partial 16S ribosomal RNA". It matches the Rfam family "Bacterial small subunit ribosomal RNA", at positions 29 to 523 of the family's 1533-position model. The record is from RNAcentral.